GUUUGAUCCUGGCUCAGGACGAACGCUGGCGGCGUGCUUAACACAUGCAAGUCGAACGGUAAGGCUCCAGCUUGCUGGGGUACACGAGUGGCGAACGGGUGAGUAACACGUGGGUGACCUGCCCUGCACUUCGGGAUAAGCCUGGGAAACUGGGUCUAAUACCGGAUAGGACCAUGGUGUGGAUACUGUGGUGGAAAGUUUUUUCGGUGUGGGAUGGGCCCGCGGCCUAUCAGCUUGUUGGUGGGGUAAUGGCCUACCAAGGCGGCGACGGGUAGCCGGCCUGAGAGGGUGGACGGCCACAUUGGGACUGAGACACGGCCCAGACUCCUACGGGAGGCAGCAGUGGGGAAUAUUGCACAAUGGGCGGAAGCCUGAUGCAGCGACGCCGCGUGGGGGAUGACGGCCUUCGGGUUGUAAACUCCUUUCACCAUCGACGAAGGGUUUCUGACGGUAGAUGGAGAAGAAGCACCGGCUAACUACGUGCCAGCAGCCGCGGUAAUACGUAGGGUGCGAGCGUUGUCCGGAAUUACUGGGCGUAAAGAGCUCGUAGUGGUUUGUCGCGUCGUCUGUGAAAUUCCGGGGCUUAACUCCGGGCGUGCAGGCGAUACGGGCAUAACUUGAGUACUGUAGGGGAGACUGGAAUUCCUGGUGUAGCGGUGAAAUGCGCAGAUAUCAGGAGGAACACCGGUGGCGAAGGCGGGUCUCUGGGCAGUAACUGACGCUGAGGAGCGAAAGCAUGGGGAGCGAACAGGAUUAGAUACCCUGGUAGUCCAUGCCGUAAACGGUGGGCGCUAGGUGUGGGUUUCCUUCCACGGGAUCCGUGCCGUAGCUAACGCAUUAAGCGCCCCGCCUGGGGAGUACGGCCGCAAGGCUAAAACUCAAAGGAAUUGACGGGGGGCCCGCACAAGCG
RNAcentral lists this ribosomal RNA (910 nucleotides) under Corynebacterium amycolatum. RNAcentral describes it as "bacterial SSU rRNA". It matches the Rfam family "Bacterial small subunit ribosomal RNA", at positions 11 to 931 of the family's 1533-position model. Lineage: Bacteria; Bacillati; Actinomycetota; Actinomycetes; Mycobacteriales; Corynebacteriaceae. The record is from RNAcentral.